GGGUCAGUAGGUUGGUCGUGCCACCGGUACGUACUGGUCUCACUGAUUCCUCCUUCCUGAAGAACCGUAAUGCCAUUAAUUUGGUGUUGCGGGGAAACAGGACUGUUACUUUGAAAAAAUUAGAGUGUUUAAAGCAAGCUAACGCUUGAAUACUUUAGCAUGGAAUAAUGAAAUAGGACAAUCGAUCCUAUUUUGUUGGUUUCUAGGAUUGACGUA
RNAcentral lists this ribosomal RNA (216 nucleotides) under Glomeromycotina sp. RNAcentral describes it as "partial small subunit ribosomal RNA". The stretch from base 40 to 216 matches the Rfam family "Eukaryotic small subunit ribosomal RNA", at positions 686 to 864 of the family's 1831-position model. The record is from RNAcentral. Lineage: Eukaryota; Fungi; Glomeromycota.